Molecule: ribosomal RNA, 483 nt
Filed under: uncultured bacterium
Lineage: Bacteria
Description: bacterial SSU rRNA
Rfam family: Bacterial small subunit ribosomal RNA
Source: RNAcentral
GGCGGCGCGUUUAAGCAUGCAAGUCGAGCGGUAGUAGCAAUACGAGAGCGGCGGACGGGUGAGUAACACGUGGGUAAUCUGCCCUUCGGUCGGGAAUAGCCUGUGGAAACACAGGAUAAUACCGGAUGCGAUGGUCUUCACACAAGUGGAGGUCAGGAAAGGAGCCAAGGCUCCGCCGGAGGAUGAGCCCGCGUCCCAUUAGCUAGAUGGUGAGGUAAAGGCCCACCAUGGCGAUGAUGGGUAGCCGGCCUGAGAGGGUGAACGGCCACAUUGGAACUGAGACACGGUCCAGACUCCUACGGGAGGCAGCAGCUAAGAAUCUUCCACAAUGGACGAAAGUCUGAUGGAGCGACGCCGCGUGGGCGAUGAAGGCCGUGAGGUUGUAAAGCCCUUUUCUUGAGGGGGAAUAAUGCGGGCAGGGAAUGGCCUGCAGAUGACGUGAAUCAAGGAAUAAGCCCCGGCUAACUACGUGCCAGCAGCGGC